UGUAAACAUCCACGACUGGAAGCUGCCCCACUGUGGCCACGCGGCUUUCAGUCCGGUGUUUACGGC
Molecule: microRNA precursor, 66 nt
Filed under: Petromyzon marinus (sea lamprey)
Lineage: Eukaryota; Metazoa; Chordata; Hyperoartia; Petromyzontiformes; Petromyzontidae
Description: Pma-Mir-30-P1o2_pre stem-loop
Rfam family: mir-30 microRNA precursor family
About the family: This family consists of the mammalian microRNA (miRNA) precursor mir-30a. Animal miRNAs are transcribed as ~70nt precursors and subsequently processed by the Dicer enzyme to give a ~22nt product. In this case the mature sequence comes from both the 3' (miR-30) and 5' (mir-97-6) arms of the precursor.
Source: RNAcentral